UACAGAGGGGGCAAGCGUUGUUCGGAAUUACUGGGCGUAAAGGGCGCGUAGGCGGCCUGUUAAGUCGAACGUAAAAUCCCCGGGCUCAACCCGGGAACUGCGUCCGAUACUGGCAGGCUUGAAUCCGGGGAGAGGGAUGUGGAAUUCCAGGUGUAGCGGUGAAAUGCGUAGAUAUCUGGAGGAACACCGGUGGCGAAGGCGACAUCCUGGACCGGUAUUGACGCUGAGGCGCGAAAGCUAGGGGGAGCAAAACGGGG
RNAcentral lists this ribosomal RNA (257 nucleotides) under uncultured bacterium. RNAcentral describes it as "partial 16S ribosomal RNA". It matches the Rfam family "Bacterial small subunit ribosomal RNA", at positions 524 to 778 of the family's 1533-position model. The record is from RNAcentral.